AGGACGAACGCUGGCGGCGUGCUUAACACAUGCAAGUCGAGCGGAAAGGCCCUUCGGGGUACUCGAGCGGCGAACGGGUGAGUAACACGUGAGCAACCUGCCCUUAGCUCUGGGGUAGCUCCGGGAAACCGGAAUUAAAUACCGGAUACGACCUAGGCCGACAUCGGCCAUGGUGGAAAGUUUUUCGGCUAGGGAUGGACUCGCGGCCUAUCAGCUAGUUGGUGGGGUAAAGGCCUACCAAGGCGACGACGGGUAG
Molecule: ribosomal RNA, 256 nt
Filed under: uncultured bacterium
Lineage: Bacteria
Description: partial small subunit ribosomal RNA
Rfam family: Bacterial small subunit ribosomal RNA
Source: RNAcentral